GACGAACGCUGGCGGCGUGCUUAACACAUGCAAGUCGAACGGAAAGGCCCUGCUUGCGGGGUACUCGAGUGGCGAACGGGUGAGUAACACGUGGGUGCUCUGCCCUGCACUUCGGGAUAAGCUUGGGAAACUGGGUCUAAUACCGGAUAGGAGCCAUCUUUAGUGUGGUGGUUGGAAAGUUUUUUCGGUGUAGGAUGAGCUCGCGGCCUAUCAGCUUGUUGGUGGGGUAAUGGCCUACCAAGGCGGCGACGGGUAGCCGGCCUGAGAGGGUGUACGGCCACAUUGGGACUGAGAGACGGCCCAGACUCGUACGGGAGGCAGCAGUGGGGAAUAUUGCACAAUGGGCGCAAGCCUGAUGCAGCGACGCCGCGUGGGGGAUGAAGGCCUUCGGGUUGUAAACUCCUUUCGCUAGGGACGAAGCUUUUUUGUGACGGUACCUAGAGAAGAAGCACCGGCUAACUACGUG
RNAcentral lists this ribosomal RNA (466 nucleotides) under uncultured bacterium. RNAcentral describes it as "partial 16S ribosomal RNA". It matches the Rfam family "Bacterial small subunit ribosomal RNA", at positions 28 to 507 of the family's 1533-position model. The record is from RNAcentral.